CCUACGGGAGGCAGCAGUGGGGAAUUUUCCGCAAUGGGCGAAAGCCUGACGGAGCAAUACCGCGUGAGGGAAGAAAGCCUACUGGGUUGUAAACCUCUUUUUUCAGGGAGGAAAAAAAUGACGUGUACCUGAAGAAUAAGCAUCGGCUAACUCCGUGCCAGCAGCCGCGGUAAGACGGAGGAUGCAAGUGUUAUCCGGAAUUACUGGGCGUAAAGCGUCUGUAGGUGGUUUAAUAAGUCAACUGUUAAAUCUUGAGGCUUAACUUCAAAACAGCAGUCGAAACUAUUAGACUAGAGUAUAGUAGGGGUAAAGGGAAUUUCCAGUGGAGCGGUGAAAUGCGUAGAUAUUGGAAAGAACACCGAUGGCGAAAGCACUUUACUGGGCUAUUACUAACACUCAGAGACGAAAGCUAGGGUAGCAAAUGGGAUUAGAUACCCCAGUAGUCCUAGCUGUAAACAAUGGAUACUAGAUGUUGAACAGAUGACCUGUGCAGUAUUAAAGCUAACGCGUUAAGUAUCCCGCCUGGGAAAGUNUGNUCGCAGAGAGAACGUACGAAAGAAGUAGACGGCGUGUAAGUACGUAGUUACGAACGACGACGACGAGGGAGGAGG
This 611-nucleotide ribosomal RNA is filed under the name uncultured bacterium. RNAcentral describes it as "bacterial SSU rRNA". The stretch from base 1 to 523 matches the Rfam family "Bacterial small subunit ribosomal RNA", at positions 338 to 873 of the family's 1533-position model. The record is from RNAcentral.